This 471-nucleotide ribosomal RNA is filed under the name Saccharosydne procerus. Its description in RNAcentral is "partial 16S ribosomal RNA". The record is from RNAcentral. Lineage: Eukaryota; Metazoa; Arthropoda; Insecta; Hemiptera; Delphacidae.
UUUAAAUAGCUGCAGUAUUUUAACUGUACAAAGGUAGCAUAAUAAUUAGUCUUUUAAUUGAGGUCUGGAAUGAAUGGUUUAACAAAAAAAUAACUUUAUUAAUUUAAUUAGUUUUGAAAUUAAUUUUUUAGUUAAAAAACUAAAAUAUUUAAAUGGGACGAUAAGACCCUAUAGAUCUUUAAUUUUUUAAUAGAUUAAUUUUAUUUAGUUUAAUUAAAUAAUUAAUUUUUAAAAAAUUUUAAUUGGGGUGAUUAUUAAACUUUUUUAACUUUAAUUUUUUUUUACAUUCAUUUAUGAUUUGUUGAUCUUGAAUUUUUGAUUAAAAGAAUAAGAUACCUUAGGGAUAACAGCACAUAUAAUUUGGAUAGUUCAUAUUGAUAAAUUUUAUUUGUGACCUCGAUGUUGAAUUAAUUUAAACUUUUAGAGCAGAAAUUAAAAUAGUUAGGUCUGUUCGACCUUUAAUAAAUUACA